Molecule: long non-coding RNA, 485 nt
Organism: Cavia porcellus (domestic guinea pig)
Lineage: Eukaryota; Metazoa; Chordata; Mammalia; Rodentia; Caviidae
Exons: 2
Source: RefSeq, a predicted model, not a curated record
GGCUGGGCUUCAAUUUGUGAUCCUCCCGCUUCAGCCUCCCAGGAUGCUGGGAUCAAAGGGGAACUGGGUUUCACUACACAGUCCAUGCUGGCCUCAAACUUGCAGCAAUCCUCCUGUCAUAGCCUCCCAAGUGUUAGAAUGACAGAUGGACACCACCAUGCCUAGAUAAUUUGUUCUUUAUAAGCAGGAAGAUAGCAAAAAAUGUACCCACCAGCCAGGAUAUAUGUUUCUGUUAGUUGCCCAGGUAAUAGUUUCUGUUACAGUUCCUGUUACAUUUGUUUCUUAGAAACAGCUGGUCACUGUGAUGCAUAGCUGGUCUCUAUGAUGCAUAUUGUAAGAAUAAUCAAAGAGAGCCAAGUACUCUGCCUCUGUACUUGCUGCUUACAGAUCCUAUAAAAAUGCUUGCCCAUCACUGUUCGGAGUUUGACAUUUUAGGAAUGAUCCCAGUCAAUGCCUGUCAAGGUCAAAGAAAUCUGCCUCCAAAU